Molecule: non-coding RNA, 112 nt
Organism: Pelobates cultripes (western spadefoot toad)
Lineage: Eukaryota; Metazoa; Chordata; Amphibia; Anura; Pelobatidae
Source: the annotation of a GenBank genome assembly
GCCAACGGCCAUACCAGUCUGAAAGUGCCUGAUCUCGUCAGAUGACAUCCAGACUCGGGCCUGGUUAGUACUUGUAUGGGAGACCAACUAGGAACCUCAGGUGCCGUAAGCU